GCAGCUGGCCCUGGGGGCGGGCUCCCCCUUCAUCACCAGAGACAGCCCGUCCAGGUGGGACGCUGGUGGGCCGGUAACGAAACAAAAGGUCACGAAUGGAUUUCCUCUUUCCAGGUGCGAGGUGAGAGGGGUUCCAAGGGCAGCCGCCCAGUGGGUGCAGAAGCCCCCGCACCCCGAGUGCCACAGGGAGCUCCGAGGGGCCCAGGCACCAGGCGGGUGCUCCUGGCCCGGUGGGGACAGACGAGGAUGGGCCAGGCCCAGGCUGGGGCACAGCUCAGAGACGCCCCCGCAAAGCGGGACUGGGGGCGAAUCCAAGCCACUUCCGGGCCGGCCGCAGCUCCCGGCGGCCUUCCCAGCACGUGACCAGGAGGUAUAAACUCAGCGGCACGCAGCCCCCGCUGGGCAGUGGGCAGGUCUCAGGGGACGCAGCUGGCAGAGCGAGGGCGGCUGUGCAGACAGGCAGCACCAGAGCCUCACCCUCCGCGGCCCGGAGGGGACUUGGGGCUCUGUGUGGCCAGAGAGCCUGGCCCUCCGGCCUCCUCCCCAAAUCCGCCUGCAGGGGGAUGGAAGGAAACCUGGGCCCCUCGGAACUGGCAGGUCAUCCCGGGUGAGUUACACCGGGAGCACCGGCCAGCCCCUCACUAUGCAGAGGAGAGCAUUUGGGCCAGGACCACAAGUGAUAGGACCGAGACACUGAGCCAAUCGGCUGGCAGUGCAGCCCCCGCCCCGGGCCCAGGGCCCGGCCUUGUCCGGGUCAGAGCCAACACGCAAGGCCAGGCCCUGAUGCCUCUUCCGCUGGAAGAAACCAGCCUGAAGCUCCCAGACCUUUUCCUGGCCAAGGAGCACCGGGGUUCCAGAAAAGAGGAGACACGAAGUCCACCUCGGCCCCAGCCAGGGCCGCCGCGCUUGCCUGCACUCGGCCCACGCACGGUGGGAGGGAGGCCAAGGUCAGCGCUCACCCUGGACAAAGGUCUGGCUCCCUGCCCUGCUGGUUACUAUGGCCACCCUGGCCCUCCCCCGCCUGCCGCCCCCAUCCCGUGAGCAGGCAGGUAGGGCCCGGACUUGGCUGGUUUGAGGACAGAAAACCCCCCAAACAGGGAAGGUCUUAGCGGGCACUUCCCGGCGGGUCUCCUCGGUUUCUGUUCCGGGCGCCUGAGAACCAGGAACUGGCCAGCUUCUGGGGGUACGGGGCUUUCGGAAGAGGGAACCAGUGCCCACCCCACCCGCAGCCACUCCUCCACAGCUGCCCAGGCUCCCAGAGGACUCGGCGUCUGAGCCUCACCUGGCCGGCCCCGGUGUGAGCAUCAACUCCCCGCCCCAGCAGAUCCCCGGGAAACACCCGUCCAGGACCAGGCCUCGCCGCAGUGCAGCCCCCUGAAGGACGACAGUGGCUCACAAACACUUCUCAACGUCCGCGUGCUGGGCGCCUCCUCGCAGGCAUCCCCGCGACCGGGCAGCCCUGCUACCCCACUCCAGGGAGGAGAAACUGAGGCUCAGAGAGGUGGAGUGACUGCCACGCCCUCCUCCCUAGAGAUGUACGGGUGUACAUCCCGAGUCCGCCUACUGCCGCGAGUGCUCAUGGGUAAUGAGAACAGCGACCACGUGGCCUUUCCGUCUGCUGCCCCCGCGCUCCGUUUCCUGCCUGUGCCGCCUCCCCAGGUCGACACCUGUCCAGAAAGGGCCUGUAGCCCAUCGGGUGGAUGAAGAAUCUGGGGCACAGCAAAGUAACGUGUCCAUGCCACACAGCUGGAAAUGGGGGAGCCGGGAUUCAAACCCCAUGACACCUGGGGAAACGCCCUCGGAACUCGGGUCUGCUGCACGGGCCGUCCCAUCAAAGCCGGCAGAGGACAGUUCUGCGUCUGAGGGUCACCUGAGAGCCAGGAGGCCCCUCCACGCCAUCGCCCCGAGAGGAUCCUGAGGCCACAGCUGCAGCGGCUGGCACGGACCCCGUCCCCCAACUCCAAAGCCAGUGCCCACUGCCCUGCACCAGCUGAUGCUCUGGGGCACCUGCCAUCCCACGACCUUCCAGGGCAGGACGGGGACCACCGUCCUGGAGGCACCUGGCCGCAGAGGUGCCGUGAGGGGUACCAGGGGCCCCCCUGCCCACACUGAACUUCUCUCUGCACCUCCUCCUGCCCACGCCCCCAGGGAGGCCUCCAGACCGCCGGCUGGCAAGGUCCUGCCCUGCCUCUCUGCGGGCGAGCUGCACAGCUGACCCACUCUCACACAAUUGGGGUGAUGUGCUGCCCUCCCCCCACUCGGAAAGUGAAUCUGGAGGGCCCCCAGGCCCCCGAGGAGAAGCACUGCCGCGAUCUGCCCGGAGCCUCCCGGCACCGAGGAGCCCAAACCCUCCCAACAUGGAGGCCACACGGGGUUCCGGGGCCAGGCCCCAAGGUGGGGGCGUCAUUUGCACAUGGUUCCUGGACAGCCUCCCUGUGGGGGCUAGGCCCCUCGCAGGGGGCUGAAGGGGGGCCCGGGACACAGUCAGGUCCCUGUGCCUUGGGCUACAGGGGAGAGGACAGCCCUGCCCCGCUCUGUCGGAGGAGCACGCAGCAUGAUGUUGUGCCAGUCCCCCCAUUUCCCAGGGCCCAGGUUUCUCCCGGGUCAGAUAAGGCUGGGAGAGGGUCCCGGGGACUUCUGACCCUCUGCCCCCUUUCUGGUAGGUAGCCACUUCCAUCCUCAUUCGCCUGGGAGGCCCGGGCCUCAGCUCACGCAGCUGGGAAGUUGGGCACCACCCACCCUGUGCUUGCGUGUGAACCCCAGCAGGACAGAGGCGAGGCUGGGGAAGCCCCCACGGCUCCGGAGGGCGCCGGACUCUGGGGCUUGGGUGGGACCUGUCCCAGGGUCGCCUAGUGAGGAUGGGCGGAAAGGCUGUCCAAGAGGGGGCCCUGCCCGAGCGACAGCCCAGAGCGACUGCACCUGUGUGUCUGGGGGGGCCGGUCCCUAAGCAGGCCGGGCCCCAGGAUGUGGCCCAUUAUAUAGGGGAGGGGCCACACCCUAAACCCCAAGCUCCCGGGACGCCUGCAGGAAAACAGAAGGAAUCCUUGCCUCUGGGGAGAGAAUCCACUUCCCCAAGAAGCUGGGAAGGGACGCUGGCCCCUGGACAGCCCCUGCCCUCUGGAGCACCCCCGCAUCGUGGGUGGGGAGAGGAGAGCUGGGGCCCAGGAGGAGCCAGCAGAGGUGGCUGGCACCAAGGGAAAGGAGAGGUGAGCAGCGUGGGAGCCAGCUGCCAGCUGGAUGCUCUGGCCCCGGCCCUGCUUCCAGGCUCCUCUGGUGCCCAGGCUUGGGGGAAAUUCUCUGCCCAUUUGCCAAAAACUCGGGGGGUUUGACUCCCUUUUCAGGCUCCAGUCCUAUGCUUCCUGAGGCCGGACUGGGGAACAGUCUGAUAAGGUUUUGAAUCCCUUCCCACACAUCAGACGCCAGCACACACUCCCUUCACCACCCUCUUUUCUCCCAGAGCUUAAGGCCCCAGAGAGUGGGCCCUGCUCUCCGGCCAGGGCGGCCACCGCCGGCGGGUGCUGGAGGAGAAAAGCUCUGGAGGUCAGAGCUGGACAGGCCAGGACACCCAACCAGCCGCCUCCCUGCCCAGAAGGCAGGGCCUGGCACGGCUGUCAACUCAUCGCCAAAUUCCUGGUCUUGAAA
Phyllostomus hastatus (greater spear-nosed bat) is the source of this 3642-nucleotide long non-coding RNA. RefSeq lists it as uncharacterized. NCBI's taxonomy places the organism in Eukaryota, Metazoa, Chordata, Mammalia, Chiroptera, Phyllostomidae. The transcript has 4 exons. The record is from RefSeq and is a predicted model, not a curated record.